GAUGAACGCUGGCGGCGUGCCUAAUACAUGCAAGUCGAGCGAACGGACGAGAAGCUUGCUUCUCUGAUGUUAGCGGCGGACGGGUGAGUAACACGUGGAUAACCUACCUAUAAGACUGGGAUAACUUCGGGAAACCGGAGCUAAUACCGGAUAAUAUUUUGAACCGCAUGGUUCAAAAGUGAAAGACGGUCUUGCUGUCACUUAUAGAUGGAUCCGCGCUGCAUUAGCUAGUUGGUAAGGUAACGGCUUACCAAGGCAACGAUGCAUAGCCGACCUGAGAGGGUGAUCGGCCACACUGGAACUGAGACACGGUCCAGACUCCUACGGGAGGCAGCAGUAGGGAAUCUUCCGCAAUGGGCGAAAGCCUGACGGGGCAACGCCGCGCGAGUGAUGAAGGUCUUCGGAUCGUAAAACUCUGUUAUUAGGGAAGAACAUAUGUGUAAGUAACUGUGCACAUCUUGACGGUACCUAAUCAGAAAGCCACGGCUAACUACGUGCCAGCAGCCGCGGUAAUACGUAGGUGGCAAGCGUUAUCCGGAAUUAUUGGGCGUAAAGCGCGCGUAGGCGGUUUUUUAAGUCUGAUGUGAAAGCCCACGGCUCAACCGUGGAGGGUCAUUGGAAACUGGAAAACUUGAGUGCAGAAGAGGAAAGUGGAAUUCCAUGUGUAGCGGUGAAAUGCGCAGAGAUAUGGAGGAACACCAGUGGCGAAGGCGACUUUCUGGUCUGUAACUGACGCUGAUGUGCGAAAGCGUGGGGAUCAAACAGGAUUAGAUACCCUGGUAGUCCACGCCGCAAACGAUGAGUGCUAAGUGUUAGGGGGUUUCCGCCCCUUAGUGCUGCAGCUAACGCAUUAAGCACUCCGCCUGGGGAGUACGACCGCAAGGUUGAAACUCAAAGGAAUUGACGGGGACCCGCACAAGCGGUGGAGCAUGUGGUUUAAUUCGAAGCAACGCGAAGAACCUUACCAAAUCUUGACAUCCUUUGACAACUCUAGAGAUAGAGCCUUCCCCUUCGGGGGACAAAGUGACAGGUGGUGCAUGGUUGUCGUCAGCUCGUGUCGUGAGAUGUUGGGUUAAGUCCCGCAACGAGCGCAACCCUUAAGCUUAGUUGCCAUCAUUAAGUUGGGCACUCUAAGUUGACUGCCGGUGACAAACCGGAGGAAGGUGGGGAUGACGUCAAAUCAUCAUGCCCCUUAUGAUUUGGGCUACACACGUGCUACAAUGGACAAUACAAAGGGCAGCGAAACCGCGAGGUCAAGCAAAUCCCAUAAAGUUGUUCUCAGUUCGGAUUGUAGUCUGCAACUCGACUACAUGAAGCUGGAAUCGCUAGUAAUCGUAGAUCAGCAUGCUACGGUGAAUACGUUCCCGGGUCU
Molecule: ribosomal RNA, 1372 nt
Filed under: uncultured bacterium
Lineage: Bacteria
Description: bacterial SSU rRNA
Rfam family: Bacterial small subunit ribosomal RNA
Source: RNAcentral